GCCCUGAUAGCUCAGUCGGUAGAGCGCGUUCUUGGUAAGAACGAGGUCAGCGGUUCAAAUCCGCUUCAGGGCUCCA
Molecule: transfer RNA, 76 nt
Filed under: Dehalococcoidia bacterium
Lineage: Bacteria; Bacillati; Chloroflexota; Dehalococcoidia
Description: tRNA-Thr
Rfam family: tRNA
About the family: Transfer RNA (tRNA) molecules are approximately 80 nucleotides in length. Their secondary structure includes four short double-helical elements and three loops (D, anti-codon, and T loops).
Source: RNAcentral